AUAUAUAGUGAAUUCUGGGAUU
This 22-nucleotide microRNA is filed under the name Macaca fascicularis (crab-eating macaque). Its description in RNAcentral is "novel_miR69-3p". The record is from RNAcentral. Lineage: Eukaryota; Metazoa; Chordata; Mammalia; Primates; Cercopithecidae.